AACUGGGUCUAAUACCGGAUAUGACCACGGAUCGCAUGGUUUGUGGUGGAAAGAUUUAUCGGUGCGAGAUGGGCCCGCGGCCUAUCAGCUUGUUGGUGGGGUAAUGGCCUACCAAGGCGACGACCGGUAGCCGACCUGAGAGGGUGACCGGCCACACUGGGACUGAGACACGGCCCAGACUCCUACGGGAGGCAGCAGUGGGGAAUAUUGCACAAUGGGCGAAAGCCUGAUGCAGCGACGCCGCGUGAGGGAUGACGGCCUUCGGGUUGUAAACCUCUUUCGACAGGGACGAAGCGCAAGUGACGGUACCUGUAGAAGAAGCACCGGCCAACUACGUGCCAGCAGCCGCGGUAAUACGUAGGGUGCGAGCGUUGUCCGGAAUUACUGGGCGUAAAGAGCUUGUAGGCGGUUCGUCGCGUCGAUUGUGAAAACUUGCAGCUCAACUGCAAGCUUGCAGUCGAUACGGGCGGACUAGAGUACUUCAGGGGAGACUGGAAUUCCUGGUGUAGCGGUGAAAUGCGCAGAUAUCAGGAGGAACACCGGUGGCGAAGGCGGGUCUCUGGGAAGUAACUGACGCUGAGAAGCGAAAGCGUGGGUAGCGAACAGGAUUAGAUACCCUGGUAGUCCACGCCGUAAACGGUGGGUACUAGGUGUGGGUUUCCUUCCACGGGAUCCGUGCCGUAGCUAACGCAUUAAGUACCCCGCCUGGGGAGUACGGCCGCAAGGCUAAAACUCAAGGAAUUGACGGGGGCCCGCACAAGCGGCGGAGCAUGUGGAUUAAUUCGAUGCAACGCGAAGAACCUUACCUGGGUUUGACAUACGCCAGAAAGCCGUAGAGAUACGGCCCCCCUUGUGGUUGGUGUACAGGUGGUGCAUGGCUGUCGUCAGCUCGUGUCGUGAGAUGUUGGGUUAAGUCCCGCAACGAGCGCAACCCUUAUCUUAUGUUGCCAGCGCGUAAUGGCGGGGACUCGUGAGAGACUGCCGGGGUCAACUCGGAGGAAGGUGGGGACGACGUCAAGUCAUCAUGCCCCUUAUGUCCAGGGCUUCACACAUGCUACAAUGGCCGGUACAGAGGGCUGCGAUACCGUGAGGUGGAGCGAAUCCCUUAAAGCCGGUCUCAGUUCGGAUCGGGGUCUGCAACUCGACCCCGUGAAGUUGGAGUCGCUAGUAAUCGCAGAUCAGCAACGCUGCGGUGAAUACGUUCCCGGGCCUUGUACACACCGCCCGUCACGUCAUGAAAGUCGGUAACACCCGAAGCCGGUGGCCUAACC
This 1271-nucleotide ribosomal RNA is filed under the name Nocardia sp. Its description in RNAcentral is "bacterial SSU rRNA". It matches the Rfam family "Bacterial small subunit ribosomal RNA", at positions 155 to 1440 of the family's 1533-position model. The record is from RNAcentral. Lineage: Bacteria; Bacillati; Actinomycetota; Actinomycetes; Mycobacteriales; Nocardiaceae.